CAGCCGCCGCGGGAACACGAAGGGCGCAAGCGUUAAUCGGAAUUACUGGGCGUAAAGCGUGCGUAGGCGGUGAGUUAAGUCUGCUGUGAAAUCCCCGGGCUUAACCUGGGAACUGCGCUUGUGACUGCACAGCUAGAGUAUGGCAGAGGUGGGUGGAAUUCCACGUGUAGCAGUGAAAUGCGUAGAGAUGUGGAGGAACACCGAUGGCGAAGGCAGCCCCCUGGGCCAAUACUGACGCUCAUGCACGAAAGCGUGGGGAGCAAACAGGAUUAGAUACCCCUGUAGUCCCUGUCUCUUAUAC
This 301-nucleotide ribosomal RNA is filed under the name uncultured bacterium. RNAcentral's name for it is "partial 16S ribosomal RNA". It matches the Rfam family "Bacterial small subunit ribosomal RNA", at positions 509 to 807 of the family's 1533-position model. The record is from RNAcentral.